This 450-nucleotide ribosomal RNA is filed under the name uncultured bacterium. RNAcentral describes it as "bacterial SSU rRNA". It matches the Rfam family "Bacterial small subunit ribosomal RNA", at positions 354 to 796 of the family's 1533-position model. The record is from RNAcentral.
GUGGGGAAUUUUGGACAAUGGGCGCAAGCCUGAUCCAGCAAUGCCGCGUGUGUGAAGAAGGCCUUCGGGUUGUAAAGCACUUUUGUCCGGAAAGAAAUCUCCUGGGUUAAUACCUCGGGGGGAUGACGGUACCGGAAGAAUAAGCACCGGCUAACUACGUGCCAGCAGCCGCGGUAAUACGUAGGGUGCGAGCGUUAAUCGGAAUUACUGGGCGUAAAGCGUGCGCAGGCGGCUAUGCAAGACAGAUGUGAAAUCCCCGGGCUCAACCUGGGAACUGCAUUUGGGAAGGCAGGGCUAGAGAGCGUCAGAGGGAGGUGGAAUUCCGCGUGUAGCAGUGAAAUGCGUAGAGAUGCGGAGGAACACCGAUGGCGAAGGCAGCCUCCUGGGAUGACACUGACGCUCAUGCACGAAAGCGUGGGGAGCAAACAGGAUUAGAUACCCGGGUAGUCC